GAGCUGUUAUUUUCACCCUUUGGGGGGUCGGGGGCUGGGAAACGGGACGGUGGGGGUGGGUCGGGUGCUGGGAAUUGGGACGGUGGGGGGUGGUGGAGAGCAAACGCACCGGCAAUCCAUGCCCGGGGAAUCUGAAGAACCUGAACCAGAGUUACCCAUUUUUCUUGAAGGAGAAGUUGCGAAACCCUUCCUUUUGAGACUAGAUUCAAA
Long non-coding RNA from Syzygium oleosum, 210 nucleotides. RefSeq lists it as uncharacterized. NCBI's taxonomy places the organism in Eukaryota, Viridiplantae, Streptophyta, Magnoliopsida, Myrtales, Myrtaceae. The transcript has 2 exons. The record is from RefSeq and is a predicted model, not a curated record.